AGGGCUACACACACGCUACAAUGGUCUGUACAAUGGGUAGCCAAGGCCGCGAGGCGGAGCCAAUCCUGAAAGCAGGACCUCAGUUCAGAUUGUAGGCUGCAACUCGCCUGCAUGAAGAUGGAGUUGCUAGUAACGGUGUAUCAGACACGAUACCGUGAAUACGUUCCCGGGCCUU
This 175-nucleotide ribosomal RNA is filed under the name uncultured Anaerolineaceae bacterium. Its description in RNAcentral is "partial 16S ribosomal RNA". It matches the Rfam family "Bacterial small subunit ribosomal RNA", at positions 1210 to 1382 of the family's 1533-position model. The record is from RNAcentral. Lineage: Bacteria; Bacillati; Chloroflexota; Anaerolineae; Anaerolineales; Anaerolineaceae.